This is a non-coding RNA of Pelobates cultripes (western spadefoot toad), 247 nucleotides long. NCBI's taxonomy places the organism in Eukaryota, Metazoa, Chordata, Amphibia, Anura, Pelobatidae. The record is from the annotation of a GenBank genome assembly.
UUUUAGCUUCCAUUUAAGAUGGACCAUUAAGAAUGGAACAACAAGGAUGAAGAUGUACGAAGCAAUGUGCUAUGCUCAGAUGAAAUCUACGUAGAAAUAAAUCACCUUUCAAAAUGCUUGAAUGAAAACCCCAGGUUUACUAGCAACACCUGCAGUAUAUCGAGCUAAACCAGACUGAACUCUCUCAAGUGUAUACUUCUUGACAAGACACUCAGGACUGGAGUCUCUGCAAAGCACAAUAUUACAG